This 253-nucleotide ribosomal RNA is filed under the name uncultured bacterium. Its description in RNAcentral is "partial 16S ribosomal RNA". It matches the Rfam family "Bacterial small subunit ribosomal RNA", at positions 524 to 776 of the family's 1533-position model. The record is from RNAcentral.
UACGUAGGGUGCGAGCGUUGUCCGGAAUUAUUGGGCGUAAAGAGCUUGUAGGUGGCUCGUUGCGUCGGGAGUGAAAACCUGCGGCUUAACCGCAGGCCUGCUUCCGAUACGGGCGAGCUAGAGUUCGGCAGGGGAGACUGGAAUUCCUGGUGUAGCGGUGGAAUGCGCAGAUAUCGGGAGGAACACCGGUGGCGAAGGCGGUUCUCUGGGCCUGUACUGACGCUGAGGAGCGAAAGCGUGGGGAGCGAACAGG